GACGGAGGGUGCAAGCGUUGUUCGGAUUGACUGGGCGUAAAGGGCGUGUAGGCGGUUGGUCAAGUCGGGUGUGAAAGCCUGGGGCUCAGCCCCAGAAGUGCACCCGAUACUAGCCAGCUAGAGCGCGAUAGAGGAGGGUGGAAUUCCUGGUGUAGCGGUGAAAUGCGUAGAUAUCAGGAGGAACACCGGCGGCGAAGGCGGCCCUCUGGAUCGUUGCUGACGCUGAGACGCGAAAGCGUGGGGAGCAAACAGGAUUAGAUACCCUGGUAGUCCACGCCUUAAACGAUGGGUACUAGGUGUUCGGGGUGUUGACCCCCUGAGUGCCGCAGUUAACGCAUUAAGUACCCCGCCUGGGGACUACGGCCGCAAGGUUAAA
Molecule: ribosomal RNA, 376 nt
Filed under: uncultured bacterium
Lineage: Bacteria
Description: bacterial SSU rRNA
Rfam family: Bacterial small subunit ribosomal RNA
Source: RNAcentral